RNAcentral lists this long non-coding RNA (24380 nucleotides) under Equus asinus (donkey). RNAcentral describes it as "lncRNA (ENSEASG00005034536.1)". The record is from RNAcentral. Lineage: Eukaryota; Metazoa; Chordata; Mammalia; Perissodactyla; Equidae.
UUACUGCAAUAAAAAAGUCUCGAGUUUUAAAAGAAGAGAGAUUUGAAACAAGACCUAGAAGCCAAUCAUUUUUGUCUAAAACAUAUACGCCUAAAAUAAUGCUAUAUUUUGUUCAGGGAUACAUACAUAUCUAAGACCACAUUGAAACUUUAGAAUGGAUUCACCUUAAAGGUGGGGGUGGUAGGGAAACGACUGUGGCGGGGAUGAAGGCGGGUACACUAAUAAAAUGAAUACAAUUACAUGACGUAAGAAAGGAGCCUUACCGGGGUCAUCAAGUAUCACGUGCAAUGAAGUGAGGAGAGUGAGGUCUUCAUUUCCUUGUCCCUGUUGUCCAAGAAAUAAAAUUGUCCCAGAAACCUACUAGGACAUUUUGCCCAGAACAACUCAACUUGAAACUGUGCUCCACUUUUAUUCCUUGCCAUCAGAAUUUCUCAGGAGUUCAGUCUCUUAUGUUUCUCCUAUGCCAAAGAAUAUACUUUUUUUUUCUCCUAAAACAUGUGGAAUAUCCAUUAAUAUUAAUAGGAGUUGAGGAUAUACUUAAGAGAAACCAAGAAGUACUUGGUGAAAUCCUGACAAAGCUCAUCUUCUCACGCUGUACACCGUGUCUUCUCAAGUGUGGCACUGUUGGAGAUGCUUGUUUAUCCAUGGAGCUCAAAAACUCUGGCCGAUGUAAACCACACAAUGUUUGUAUAAGGCUGCUUGGCAGACACCAGCAAGGAGACAUACCUCCAGUGUACUACUUCUUUAUACAUAUAUAGCACACACACACGUAUAUAUAUACCUCCUGCACCUUGAAGGUGUGUGGAACAGACGCAGAGUAAUUCGUAGUAGACUGAAGAUAGACCUGAAAAUACUAAGUAACUUAAAAAAUUGUUGAACUAUAGACUAGAAAAGUAAUUUUUGAGCUCGUCACUGGGCCCUUACAAGGCUUGCUGUUCCUGAGAACUAAGUGACGACUUGUGUGUGACAAGAUGAAACAUGCAGAAUUUACAGAAGUUUCCCCUCCAAGUGCUCAGAAUGGUGGAAACCGUGGGGAAACUUUCCAGGCAACCUUAUAUAGUGGAAAGAAAUCAGGACUAAAAUUGUGAGGCCUCACCUCAGAUUCCCCACACUGCUUCUUUGAGAGGAACAACUUGAGAACUCCCGUGCUAUCCCGGAGCAUGACUUCCUCAUCUGUAAAAUGGUGGAUAAACCCUUCUUAGCUGCAAGAUUGUUGCGGUGUUCUAAUGGCGUAACAAAGGGGAAUGAGUUUAGCAAACUUCUGCUGUAACAACGUAAGGGACACUAGUGGCGAUCAUGAUUGUUUACCGCCCCAACGAUGUCACCUCACUGGCUUUGAAGGUGAAAAGGAGAAGAAAACAAAAGGUGAGAAUAGAAAAAAUCACUUUGAAAGUAGGACAAGAGCAGAAGAGAUUCUGAACUUUGCAUCUAUUGAGAAGUUGAAAAGAAAAGUCCUAUCAGCCCAAGAAUCAGCACCCAUCUCCAUAAGUUUCUUCCCAGUGUUAAGACAAGAGCCCUGAAGUUGAAGCUCACUGGACCUGUGAAUUUGGGGUCUUUAGUGUGAUCAGAGUGGAACAUCUUGCAUUUCAAAAUGUGACUAUUGUAGGAUGGAAGGAAAAAUUGGGUGAAAAAUUAUAAUUUUUCUUUCAUAUGGGGACAUUUUCUGAGUUACAGGAGGCGCAAACACAGUAGGGAAACCCCCGGCAAUUGGGACAUGCAGUCACCCAGAGUGAAGAUCACACUUGGGUUUCCUACGCUGCAUUAGCUUCUGGGUUAAAUCAAUUCACAAACACAGUAGCGAAGCUGAAUUUCUCUAAUUCUAUUCUCACUACACAAUUAUGAGAAUCAUGGGAACUUUAGUCUCUUUGAAUUUUGUUCCUUCCCAGCUAGUUUAUGGAGUCCCCAGAGAGUAACUUGGGGCUUGUGAAUUCACUCCUCUCAGCUAACAUUGGAAUUUUUGCCAUUUCCUCAGGCAAGUGUAGUGCAUGCAGGGAAUGUAGCAAUUUCCCCUGCCGCGUCCCGGUGCCAGCCAUUUCACUUCACUCAGACAGUGCGAGUCAGGAUGUUGGUCACAUCUGUUGUUUUCUUGGCUUCUCCUCCCUUCCUGAUGUGACUCGUCAGCUUUCUGCCUCCUACUGUGUGCAUCCACAAUAUUCCAGUCAUCCUUUCUUAAGUUUAUUCUUUAUUCUCCCAGGUCCUCUAUAGACUAGAGGGCAUAGCAUUCAAGGUCUCAAUCAAAAUUUUAGCAGAAUUUCUUUUACUGUUAACCACUGCUUCUGCCCAAGACUCUGGCACAAGUUCCUGGAGGAAAACAUUGAAUAAACGGAUAAUAUGAGCAGCUCAACCACUAUUGCACUAAAACAAAUUCCUCUACACUAUAACUGGGUAUCCAUCUUUAUAAUAGUUUAGGUGCCUUAUCUCUCUCUUUCAUAGACUGAUUUUUUCAUAAUGAUUCUUGGCUUUUCAUAAAAAUACAAAAAAGUUAGAGAAAAUACAAAGAAGUGAGGAGAGAAGUGAGGAAGACAUUCUCCAAAGGAGGAAAAGCUUGCUCAAAGCUGUAACAGCAGGAAUAAUUGUGUCCAUACUGUGGGAUUCCACAGCUGAUCAAGUUGAAGGACUCACUUUGAGAAGACAUUAAAACCGGAGCUGCCUUAACUAACAGUUACUCAGUUCAUCCAGGGCCUUGGAGUUGAUACAGUAGAAGAAGGGAGACUUCGUAGAUUUCUAAGCAAUAGAUAGCCAUGGACAGUCACAGUUACAGGAUGGCUUGGAAUGGGGAAAGAUUACAAACAGAGAAAAUUCCUAGGAGUAUACGAAUAAAACAUGUGUGAGAUGAUACAAACUUAGAUUCUAGUGGUGGUAAGGAUGGCAGGUAGUGGUUGGAAGGAGAAUGAAAGACAUUUUAAAGGGAUAACUGAGAUAGCAAACUCUUCAGGAAAAAAUUAAAAUUCCAAGUCCAUUUCAGAGAGUUUAGCAAAUUGAAAUUCAUGAAUCUCCUCUUUACGGUGUUUCUAUUCUGGUGAUUUUCACUCCACGGAGUCUCAUCUCAGAGUUGCUCUCUCACAACUUUCUGUUCUGGAACAGAGAAUCAAGCCCAGCUGGAUUCGGGUGACUUCCUCGGAUCAUGUUAGGACGGCUGCCUUGAAGCUUACAAGCUCUAGGCUCUCCCGGAUCAAGGCUUACAUGUCGGUUCCCCCAAACAUAUAUAUUUACAGUGUGGUAUUGGCAGGUUCAAUGUGAGCAAUAAAGUAUACAAACCAUCAAUAGCUUCCAGGUUUUGACUCCCAAAAACUGGAAAAUAAAAGCAGCCAUGUGCAAAAAUGGGAAGAGAGAAGAUGACAUCAACCUUGAGGGCAGGGCAAUGGCAGUGAUUUUGGAUAUGUGGUUUGAUUUUGGACGUGUGGUUAUGUGGUGAAACAUCCAGUAUACAAUUGAAAAGGAAGGAAAUAAAUAUUUGAGUCACUGGCAUAAGGGUAAUAACUGAAACUCUGAGAAUAAGGACGGAAGAGAAGCCUGAGGUCACUUGUCUCAUCAUGGAUCAUGGGGAGAAAGUCCUUGUGGUUCCCCUACAGGACAUCCAGCUGUGAACACAGGCUCUUUUCACUGCAAGGCUGUUAUCAGAGAUGUCGCCUACAAAUCAAAUUGCUGGUUGCGGGACCUGUCCUGGCCACCCAUCUGUUUGGGGUCAUGCUGACCAGUGUGCAGCUUCCUCUUCCUGGUCUCCAAUGCGUCCGCUCUAGUGCCUCCACAGAGAAAUGUGCGCUGGGAUAGUGACUCGGGUGUUCCCUUCGUGUUUGCACAAUCACUGCUUCAUAAAGUCUGACUCCAGAAGGAGAGGUGAUAUAUUACUUUCUGACUUUUGGAAAUAUAAGGAAAUCCCAUCAUUUAGUGAAAUAAUGCUUCUUGUUUCCUUCACUUACUCCACAGGUGUUGUUCAGCUUUCUUCUUCUAAGCCCUCCGUAAGUGUCUUGGGGAGUGGGAAAAGCAAGAACACUUUCACUGGGAAUCACCACUGUGUUCAGGAGGUCUCCGCAGCUUUUUAAAAUGCCAGGUCAGCAAAAGACACAAGCUUCAGAGACCACAGAGCACGAUGUAAUAUUUGCAACCACAGUGAAAUUGGCUCAAAUAAUUUAUUUUGAAAAAUUCCAGGCUGAGGCCAAGGUAUAGAAAAAGAGCUGCAUAAUUUAUAGGUCCCAUUUAAGUCGUCUCCCUGUAAAAUUAAAUUCCACCCUGUUCCUACUUCUUGCAACAGUGGUUUCCUGGCACUGCUGCCCGGCGUUGCUCCUGAGAGCUCUACUCCUUAGAGCAAGGGGAGGCUGUCUGCAAGCGCCUGAUUAACCUGGCAACUAACUGAAUACGAAGCCGUCGUUUAGGAAGAAUCAAAACAAUCUCCGCUCCAUUUUCCAGAUGGACUGUUCCAAGGGCCAGAGCAUAGCUGGCCGAAGAGAAAUCAGUUGUGGUUUAUGAGAAGGCAAGUGAAGCAUGGGCUUUGGAAUGAUGCAAUGCUGGAAUCUAGUCCAAACGUUUUACUGCCUCAGGGUCUUUGCACUGCUAUUCCCCAUGCCCAAAUCACUGUUCUCUGAGCUUAGCUUAUUGCACUGCUGACAUCUUCUCAUCCUUCACAUCUCAGCUUAUUGUCACUUCUCCAAGGAGACCCUCCCUGACCAGCCCAGUUAAAGUAACACCCUUCUUAUGCUCUCUCUAGUUAUCAUCAUCAUAAUCCUGGCUGUAUUUACUCCAAAGCAUUUUUCUCCAACUAUAAGUAUUUUUAAAAUUUGUAUGUUAACCUGUUUUUUAGCUUUCCCUUCCCUCUAAGAGAGAAAUUACUUGAGGGCAGAACUGUAAGCACAUCUGUUUUAUUUUCGAGAAGUGAAAUAGGCAGUGUCAUAGCUCUCAAACUUUUUUGUCUCAGGACUCGUUUUAUAUUUUUGCAAAUCUCUGUAAUGUCUGGCUUAGUAAAAGAGAGCUCCAUUGCCACAUAGGCUUCUGCAUUCAGUUUGUUGUGAUGUCCUACUCUGGUUGAAGAACAUAAAAAAAUCAAAAUAUUGCACACUGUCUUCCUUGCUAGUACACCGAAGGUUGACGAGCGGUAGUUCCCUAAAGUUUAGCUGUAAAAUGGAAUUUGAAACCAUAUCAAUGAACUUCUCAUUAGCUGUUACAUUAUAAUUCACUGGUCUUGCCCUUUGAAAGCAUCUUUUAUCUCUGAAUUGUUUUGUAAUAUCAUUCAUUGACCAUCUAAAUCGAUACUGCUUAACUCGUUAUGCAUAUCUUUCAAAUACUGACAUAGUUUAUGAUAGAAUAUCACAAAGUCUCAUUUGUUCAUAUCUCCACUAAUGUCGUGAGAACAAUUUUUAAGUAAUAGGAAGCUAUUAAGCUCACAGUGACAUAUACAAGUUUUUCUAACUCCUAAUUUUCUCUUGAAAGCUUAAAUGAAUGGCAACAAAUACUGUCAGCUGCUUGUCUUGUAGUGACAGGAUCACUUCAUUUUUUUUUAAUUCUUUUUAUUAAGACCUUAUUUUUUUAGAGCAGUUUUAGGAUCAUAGUAAAACUGCAGGGAAGACACAUAUAUUCCCUGCCCGCACAUACACCCAGCCCCCCACUGUCAACAUCCUUCGCCAGGGUGGCACCUGGGUUCCAGUUGAUGAAACCACCCUGGAACAUCGUAACUACCCAAGGUCCAUAGAUUACAUUAGGGCUCACUCUUGGUGUUGUACGUUCUAUGGGUUUGGACAAAUGUAUAACGUCAGGUAUCCGUUAGUAUGGCAUCAUUUAGAGUAUCUUCACUGCCCUGAAAAUCCUCUAGGUUUGACCUAUUCAGCCCUCCCCCACCAAUCCCUUGCAACCACUGAUCUAAUAUUUUGUUAAGGAUUUUUGCAUCUAUGUUCAGGAGAGACGUUGACCUGUAGUUUUAUUUUCUUGUAAUGUCUUUGUCUGGUUUCUGUGUUAGGGUAAUGCUGGCCUCAUAGAAUAUGUUAGGAAGUGUUCCCUCUGCUUCUAGCCUCUGAAAGAGAUUGUCUAGAAUUGGUAUAAUUUCUUCCUUAAAUGUUUGGUAGAAUUUGCCAGUGACCCAGCUGGGCCUGGUGCUUUCUGUUUUGGAAGGUUAUUCAUUAUUGAUUCAAUUUCUUCAACAGAUAUAAGCCUGUUCAAAUUGGUUUUUCCUUCUCUUGUGGGUUUGUCAAAUUGUGUCUUUGAAGAAAUUGGUUUCUUUCAUCUAGGUUAUCAAAUUUGUGUCACAGAGUUGUUUAUAAUCUUUAUGAUCCUUUUAAUGUCCAUGGGAUCCGUAGUAAUGUCCACUCUUUCAUUUCUGAUAUUAGUAAUUUGUCUCUCCUCUUUCUUUUGUCUUAGCCUGGCUAGAGGAUUAUUGAUUCUGUUGAUCUUUUCAGAGAACUGGCUUUUGAUUUCAUUUAUUUUCUUCUUCUUCUUUUUUUUUUUCUGAGGAAGAUACACCCUGAGCUAACAUCCAUUCCCAAUCCUCCUCUUUUUGCCGAGGAAGAUUCUCCCUGAGCUAAUAUCUGGGCCGAUCUUCCUCUAUUUUGUAUGCGGGAUGCCAUCACAGCAUGGCCACUGACCAGUGGUGUAGGUUUGUGCCCAGGCACUGAACCCAGGCCACCAAAGCAGAUCAUGCUGAACUUAACCACUCGGGUACCAGGGCUGGCCCUAUUUUCUUUUUUUGUUUCCUGUUUACAAUUUCAUUGAUUUCUGCUCUAAUUUUUAUUCUUGUCUUCUACUUACUUUGGAUUUAAUUUGCUCUUCUUUGUCUAGUUUUCUAAGGUGGACACUUAGAUUGUGGAAUUUAAUCUUUCUUCUUUCUCAUAUGUUUAUUCAGUGUGAUACAUUUCCUGCUAAGCACUGCUUUCGCUGCAUUCCCCAAAUUUUGAUAAGUUGACUUUAUUCAUUUUUCAGAAAUUAUCUAUAAAAUAUCCAAGUGUGAGUAAGCUUAAUUUGACUCUUAUUCUUUCAAAUAAAAAUAGUGUUCCAUGAAAAAUGUUGCUAGUUCAUCUCCCAAUUCAAACAAUCACACAAGUGGUUUUCCUCAAGACCACUAUCAUAUACACACACACACAUUAUCAUAUCACACACACAAGAAUGUUUUUGUGUGUGUGAACACAAUGACUAUUAGUGAAGUUUGGUGCCACUGUGUUGAUUUUACCCACUGUUAUUCUGAACCAUGAGUGCAAAUGUCAGCAUGGUGAAAUGGUCAGCAAUGGUCAGCAUGGUGAAAAAGGCAAAUAAUGUUGUAAUGUUAUUAUAAAAAUUUCUUUGACCUCAUGGAUCUCAUGGAAGGGUCUCAAAGACGCCAGGGGGGUCUGGCACUUUGAGGACCACUAGAGCAGUGGUUAGGAGGAUAGAUGGAUGGCUCUGGGGUACGUACCUGGGCUCUACUCCUUACCAUUAUAUUCACAAGCCCUCUGUUCUCACCUUUCCUCAGUUUCUACAUCUCUAAAAUGGGUGUGCUAAGGAUAUGUGUCAUUAUGCAUUUGUAUAACACCAAGGUAAACUCUAAUGUAAACUGUGGAUUCGAGAUGAUAAUGAUGUGUCAAUGUAGGUUCAUCAAUUGUGACAAAGGUACCACUGCAGUGGGGGAUAUUGAUAAUGGGGGAGGCCAUGCAUGUGAGGGGGCAGGAAGGUAUAUGGGAAAUCUCUGUUUUUUCUGUGAAUCUAAAACUGCUCUAAAAAAUUGUCUUUGUGAAAAAAAUGGAGGCCGGUAAUAAUACUAUCUGCCUCAAAGGGCUAUUGUCAAGUUUAAGUAGGUGAAUGUGGGGCAAGUGAUGAGAACAGUGUCUGGCAUAGAGUGAGUGCAACAUGAUGUCAGUUCUCUCUAUUGUUUGUUGUUGCUGUCCAAGCAAUCAGCAAGCAUCUGGCACAGAGUUGGUACUCCCUAAAUAUUUGUCAAAAAGAAUAAAUGAUUAGACCAAGUCCCACCACAUACUAGUUCUGGGUUCUUGGGUAAAUGAUUAUCUUUGAGCUUAAUUUUCUUUUAACAAGGUGGACAAAAUUAACAGCUUUACAGAUCUAUCAUGAGAAUUAAACAGAAGCAUAUAUGUGGAAAUGGUUUCUAAAUUUCAGGUGCUCUAGAAAUGUUAUUUUUUGCAAACAGUGAAAUUUUUCCCUUAUGGACUUGCACUAGGACUCUUUCUGCUAGAAGUGAUUAAAACCAUGUAAGGAAAAAAAAAAAAGCCAGUCAAAUAGAUGUCAGUACACAUUUCUUAAAGUACAGUUUCAGGCAUAAUUGAGUCCAGAUAGUGCCAUUUUGUCAUCAAUCAUCUGUCUUUCUUUACUUCUCAACUUCAUGCUCCUUGGUAUUGCCUCAUUUCUCAGGUUGGCUCUCAGGAUCUAGUGACAGAAGCAAUCACCAAAAGCUUUAAGCUUACAACCCACCAGCUUAGAAACUGUAGUGGGUCAAUCAUUUCCCAGUUGAUGUAGUGAAGUCCUGGGUAGUACUCUCAUUGACCCAGCUUGGGUGGUCGUAUGCCCAUAUCUUCACCACUCAGAGGGCUAGAUUCUCUAAGAAUUCCCAAUAGUAAUUGACAGAUGUGGACCAAACGCUUUCCUUUAGAAGCAGAAGGUGAGUCAGUCCUACUUUAACUACAUGGAUUGAAAAUGGAAGAGGCAUAGUGUCCCCAAGGAAAUUUCAUGUCCUGUGACCAAAAGAAGGGAGAGGAUUGUGGCAGGCAAAAGUAACAGGUGUUUACUAAGGGUGGUAUCAGACAAAUGUCGGCAUGUUAUCUUUAUAUAGAUUGAUCGCAUACAGCGUAAGUCCAGUAUUUUAACAAGACUCUUUCUAGUCAAUGGAGUGACUCUGACAGAGAAUGUCCGAGGGGAUGAGGCACGCAAGUUGGUGAGAGUGAUUGAAAGCUUUGCUUUAUUUACCUUCAAAUCCCAUUCUGUGAGUGGUCUCUUGUUCCAUCCAUGCAGGAGGUAGGCCUUUCCCUAGAAAACUGGGUCUUUCAUUUCUGUUACUAAGUGUCAUAGUCUCAAAUGAACAAUUUUGUUUUCUUCUGUUUCUCAUUUUUCACUUUCAUCCAGCUCAGAGAACAAUCUCUAGACUUACUGUUCUGAUGGCCGUUCUUCCAAUUUGAUUUGGUUCUGUUGUUCUGUUGAAAGGAAGCAUAAAGUAAUGAUGUGAGUACUGGUAGGCACGCAGGAUGGAGUUUGACUCCUUUACUCUCUAUGCCAAUUUAGAGUUGUUUGACCUCUGUGAGCAUCAGUUCUUUCAGCUGUAAACUGGGGAAGAUAUUAGUGGUUGUGAGUAUUCAAUGGAGUAAUGUGUGAAAAAGCCCCCUUAUAGAACCUGGUCCAUAGUCUGUGUUCAGUAACAAAUAGUUCCUUCCCCAGACCCUCUGUCUCCCGCUCCAAAUGUGCAUUCUUUCCGGAUCUCUCAUUUGCAAUGCCCACCUUUGUUUCAUCAUGCUGAACCAUAACCCUCUUCCAAUUAAACUGGUGUUUCCAAUCAAAGCAUCCUUGAAGUCUCCACAGAUAAUCCCCACUUUCAACAUCUGUUCAGAAAGACAAAAGUCUAAGGCCAGACUUAAAAAUAAGCAGAGUAGGUGACCACUUAGAGGCGGACAACGACUUAAACAGUGAGCAUCAGAGGCCUUCUUGCCCUCAGCUUUCUUUCCCACCCACUUGUCAAUUGUAAGAAAUUUCCAUUUAGGAUAAUGUUUCCCAUUUAAUCAAUGAAUCUCCAUUAGCCUUGUUUAGACGUAGAUAUUUUUCCUGAAGGAGGUAGUUUAUAGCCAUUAGUAAAGAACAAUAGUAAUUUGUAGUCAGAUUAACCUAGAAAGUAGAGGAGUUUGAAAAAAGUGCAUAGAGGACAGGAUAGAGCCUGCGACACUCUACAGAUGACAGAGGAUAGUAGUGGUGGUGGGUAAAUUUGGGGCUGAUCCUCAGUGGAUCAUGCAUUCUUCGUUCACCCACUUAGCCAGCACUUACGAAAUACCCAUUUUGUGCCUGGCAGAAUCCUAGGUAUAAGAAAUACCUUGGUUGAAAAAGAUAGGCAAGUUCUGAAGUCUCAUGAAACUCACAGGGUAGUGGGGAUGACUGACAUUAAACAAGUAGUUGCAAUAAAGCCUGGUGAGUUUUAUAAUAAGCUAAGACCAGGUCCUCUAGGAGCAAAGAGCUAAAACACCUCACCUACUGAGCCCAAGGGAUUCAAGUGAGGCUGUGUGGAAGAUGUGCCCUUUAACCUGAGACUUCCAGGAUGGCUCAGAUUUAGCCAGAAAAUUAGGGAGAAGAGAAUCUCUAGGAAGAGGAAAUAAAGGUUAUGCAGGCCUAGAGACUAAAAACUAAAACAAAAACGCAUUGUAGAUUGAGGGCACAGAAAUAAGAAUUCUACCUACCUGAAAUACAGAAUACACAGAAAAAUUAGAUUAGAGACAAGUCUGGAGAAAUAAGCAGGGAUUGAAGUCACGUGAAAUCCAGUUGAGCGGUGUGAAAGGGAGUAUGUGCGCCUUGUUAAGGCAGUUGUACCUUACUCUACGCAGGAUUUUAAGCUGAGCAGUGGUAAGAUCACAUGUGCCUUUCUCAGGGUCACUCUGGUUAUAACAGAUUGGAGGGAAGCAUGAAUGAAAGCAGACAGAUCACUUAAGUUGCUGCAGCAAUCCAGCGACGGUUGGCAGAGCUCGUGUGGCAGUGAUCAGAAUGAUGCUGCUGCUGCUGAUGGUGGUGGUGGUGGUGGUCAUGACUGUGAGGACAGAAGUGAUGAUAAUGGUGGUGGCGAUGAUGGUGCUGUCUUUAGGCACCAUUAGGCUUAUUUGUCUUUGAGGCUUCUUGGCUGCGCUGUUGAGCACUGUAGCCAGCAGCCACACGUGCCUAUUUAAAUUCAAAUGAAAUAAAAUUAAAAAGGCAGUUCACCAGUUACACUAGCUACAUUGCAAGUGCUCCUUAGCCACAUGCAGCUAGUGGCUACCCUAUUAGAUAGCGCAAAUAUGAACAUUUCCCUCGUUGUAGAACAUCCCUUCAGACAGCCCUGCUCAUCACACGUAGAACGGCUUGACUUCCAGCUAUAUUUGUACCGUGCACUAGAUUUACGACUAAUCUUAUCUGUAGCAGGAGGAAUUAAAGCGCGGACACAACACUUGAAACACAGUAAGAACAUAAUGAGUGUAUUUUAAAUGAAAAACAUUUCCCAGAUUUAACUCUUGUCUUUUAUCAAAUUAUUUUUAUCAAAUUAUGUUUGCAUGUAGUCAAGCUCAAAUUCCACUUCUGAAAAUCAAACUCUGCCUUGUGCUUUGGACAGGCCUGAGUUACUCUCUUGCUAACCAAUCUAAAAUCCCAUCCAUUGCAUCACAAGACGGUGUGUGUUGGUGCAGGGGUUUUUAAAUUUUAUGCUAGCCAUAAACCUUUUAUUUCAAGUCAAUAUGUUAGGAAAGCCCAAAAUACAUAAGCGAUAAAGUCAUAACUUCUCUGGUGAAGUGGUGGGAGAGAGCCCACCUGUUCUGCCUCUCUUUUGCUCCCCCACAUUUCUCUUUAGACAGAUUUGUGAGAUUUUAGGGCUCAACAGAACACAGCUUGAAAACACUGUUGUAACAGAAAGAGCGUAGGACUCAGUGUCACAAAUCUGUGCUGCAAUUGCAAGCCUACUGCUUACCAACUGCACACCCUUCAACAAAUCUUUCAACAGCUAGGGUUUUCAUUUUUGAUGUCUCUAUAGUGAGUGUAUCAAUAGCCCCUUGUUCACAGGUUUCUGUGCAGCUCAGCUGAGGUAGUAUGUGUAAAAGGAAUUUGCAAUCUGUAAAGCUAUAUUCCAAGAGGAUGUAAUGCCAUGAUUGCUUCUCUUGUCAGAUUCCAUUCAGGAACGAGAGCCAGUCACCUGCUAACACACGAUCUCUUCAUCAAAACUGACAAACUGCACACUGAAUUCUAGGAUCUACCAGAAUGGGUCAGCUUGUGGGAACAAAGGAGAGCCUGAAAACAGAAAAUUGAGUUUACUGAUUCUUGCUUUGACCUGCUCACACAGGACUUCCAGAUUCCCUCAAAUUGGCUCCCAACUAUUUCAAGGGGUCUGCAGGGGAUUUCUCACAUGUACUUAUGAGCAAGUAUGCCAUUUAUAGUCAGUAAGAAGCUUCUCCUAUUCCUUCCUCUCGUGUGGUGAAUCCCCUGUUCCUGUAGGUCCUGGACGGGACUUCCCUGCAUUUUCUACCUCUGACCAUUUCCGUGAAAUCUCUGCUGUCUACAUGGCUUCCCAGCACUCCUGAAACUGCCAUCCAUCAAGGCACCAAAGAACACUGUGCCCCCAUCCUCCUCACUGUACCCGCACUUCCGUGUGUUCUUCCCAGAAGACCAGAAGGGUAUACGUUUUCCUGACUCAGUACCACACGAUUUCCCCAGGGCACAGAAGCAUCACUGCUUGGCCGCCAUAGCUCACAAGGUCAACCACAGAAAGAGUUCUCUGGUUUUUGGCCAGGAACUGCUCUCUGCAGGAGUCACACAUGGGUUCUUGAGGAUGUGAUGAAGCAGGGGGAUAAACUGACAUCUAGGCAGGGAUGGGGCCAAUGUCAUAGUCAAGAAAACAACACCAAAGUGCCAUAUUGAGGUUGAGUGGGGUUGGAAACAGCUUGUGAUGGGUGUAUGGAGUGAGUCAGGGUGAGUAGCUCAGGUCUGAGUCUAUGAAAAGUGAGAGGGUUGAGGGAUUACUUUCAGGGACUUAAGUUUUUCUACACAGAUGUAAGGAAUUUAGCCACUUGUAUCUUUUAAUUAAUGCUGUUUCAAUAGAAUGGUAAUUCUAAAACCUUGGAGUGUGUACUAACAGAAGGCACAUCAGAAUCUUGGCAAAUGAGGAGGAAUGUCACAUGUAGUUUGAAAAACUCCUUGAGUGGAUGGCGUGUGCUUUCCUCCCACACAUAGCAACGCUAUUACAGUGUGUAGUCUACAUGGCCCAUUGGCUGGCGAGGUGGUUAAAGGAAUUGCAGUGUUAAAUACUGACCACAUUCAGUCACUGACGGCAGUAGUCAGCCUCCAAAAUGUCCCCCGUGAUCUCUGCCUCCUGGUAUUUAUGCCCUUGUGUAAUCUUCUCCCACAAUGAAUCAGCACUGGUCUGUGUGACCAAUAAAUUAUGGUGGCAGUAAAAGUAUGUGUCUUACAAGACUAGGUCAUACAAGGCAUUGAAGCUUCCUCUUUUCUCUCUUUGACCAAUUGCUCUUGGAGAAGUUGGUGGCCAUGCCAUGAGGUCACUCAGGUAGCCCUGUGGAGAGGCCAAUCAGAGAGGAACUGAGACCUCCAACCAACCACCAACAUGAGCUUGCAAGCCACAUGAGUGAGUCACCUUGGAAGUGGCUCCUCCAGCUUCAGUCACGCCUUCAGGUAACUGCAGUUGUGGCCAUUAGAUGGUUACAACUUCAUGAGAGACCUUGAGCCAGACUGCUCAGCCAGCCGCUCCCAACUUCCCGACCCGUAGACUACAGGAUAAAUAAUAAACAUUUAUUCUUCCUCUAAGUCAUUAGGUUUGUAGGUUAUUUGCUAUGCAGAAAUAGAUAACUAAGAGAAACUUACUCUAAUUUCGUUACUGACACUUUGGGUCAAUUGUACCCUUUCUUUUCCACAUUGGGCUACAUAAACAUUCUAAAUUUUUAGAGAUCCACUAAGAAGGGUGAGAAAAAGACACCAAGGGAUGAGUAUGCAUACAGAAAAGUUAAUUUUUAAAAAAUUUCAUAUAAAAUAUUUGCACAUAUGAAGUUACCAAAAUGUCUUUAAAAAUUAGAGGAGAGGGAAAAGGUGCUCCUUACAGAUAGCGAUAUAUUUAUUAGACAUUCGAUGACAAUAUUAAGGACAUAUUCACCAUGUCUGCAGAUCCAAUGAAACAGAAUCGGUUAGGGAAUAGUUAUUAGACAGAAAAAAGAUUAAAAAAAUCAUCUAGAUAGUGUGGAUCAAUAGGCCACAAAUAAAAAAAAAAAGUUUUAAUUGAAAAAGAAUAUAAGUCCUCUACUCGAGUGUUUCAUUUAUGUAUUCUUGGAUUGCAAGUCACAGAAUGCAACCUGGCUAUUCUCAAUAAAAAAAAUAAUUUAUUGGAAUGAUAUCAGGUAGCUCCUAGAAAUUAUGAGAAAUCUGGAGAACUUACCUCAAAAAUGAUAGGAAUAAGUUCAGUCUUGUUAUUUAGAUAACAAGAACAUCUCUGAUUCUCAUGAACAGCCCCUCCUGGAAUGAAAAUGUGUGACUAUUUUUAUUCUCAAUCUGACUUCACUUUGUAUGAGAGUAACUAUCCUGGGCACACAGAAUCUAAGCGCUCCAUUAUAUGCCCAUUUCUAGGCUAAGGAAGCGAAUAGCAUUUUAAUUAUGCUCUCCGCUCACCCUGAGUCACGUGAAGAUGUAAUUUUCCAAAUGAAAUUUGUUAUUGUUAUCAAUAGGAAGGAAAAAUAGGUUCUGGGUGCUGUAAAACAACAAAUGUUAACCACCAAAGGCAAACUGUUCAAGCACAAAAUAGCAGAGAUAUAGUGUGCAUGUGAGAAAGAGAUUCAGGAUUUUAGACACCAUUGGGUUCGAAUUGCAUAAAUUAGCCACCAAAUGCUCAUCAAACUUAAGCUAUACUGAUAGCCAAGGAAUCAAACAUGAGAAAAGUGAUAGAUAUAUUCUAACCUGACUACACUAGGAAAACUGGCCGUAACAUAUUUUUGAGAUGAAGAUAGAUUAUUCUAGUAUGUUUAUGAAGACACACACACGCACAUAUACAUAUAUUUGUAAUGAGUAGAGCCCACUUCACCAGCUCAGGGCAUAUAUAAGGUCACAAAUAUAGCAUUUUUGAAUAAACUACUCAAGGCUUCGUUGCUGUAGUUUGGUAGGAUGUUUUGUUUCUCUUGCUCUCUAUCUUCUAGUAUCUGAAAACUCUCAGUUCAAAGGGCCCAAUUACACCUGGCUUCCAAACACCAGGCAAAAAAAGAAUUAAAGAACUAAAAGUUAUGGCACAUACUUAUCACUGCUGUGAUUGCACUCUUGCUGUUCCACAUCUUUGCAAAGGUCUCAUGUGCCACUCCGAACCCAUCCCACACCCACACGUUGGUAAAGCUAAUAUGGCCAAAAUUGGCUAGAUAUUAAACAAUAUUUUUUUUCCUGGGCACAUAGGACAACUAUAUUCCCUAGUCUUUUUGGAAGUUAAGUUGGGGCCCUAUGAAUAGAUUCUGACCAGUGCAUGUAAAAGGAAGUAAUAUAGGCCAAUUUCAGGCCCGAACAUAGUACCCUGAAUGAUUGCUCGUGCUAUUUCUUCCGCUCCAUGGCAAACGGGAUUAUGCAUUACAGAUGAUGACAUCACAAAAUGGAAGCAGCCCAGAUCCCAGUGAUCAUGUGGGAGGAGAGCUGUAUAUGAAAGCUGUCUGGGAGAGUUGUCCAUCAAACUGGAAGUGACGCAUAAGCCCUUAUCUUGUUAAACCGCAGAGACUUGGAGUUAUUUUUACUUCAACAUAAUCUAUGACUAAAACGGAGAGCUCCCUAUUUGAGUUCCUUUGAGGAUUAUAGUUCUCCAAGAAUAUGAACUCAUCUCCUUAGUCAUUAAUUCCAAAGCAUAAGCUUUUUUUAAACUAGAUUAGUUAGUCAUGAACCAUGACUAACUAAUGUUCUCUUCCCCAAAUAUUUAAGGGUCCAGGCCAAUAAUCUAGAUGGCUAAUCUCUCAUAGCUAGCUCAGCUUGGAUUUGGAGCUCUUGGGCUUUCCAGCUAUCACUCUUCAGCUGGGAACAUCCCAACCUAUCAGAAAGAUUCCAAUAAAAUUUUAUCUCAAAGAGGUGGUGUUUGAGGUCUCUAUUCCCUUCUUCCCAGGAAAUUCUUUGAUCGCUAUGCAAAUUUACCAAAUCUUCCCAAGGACGCAGCUCUAUAUAUGAGAGAGUAGUGAGGGGGCAGUCUUUGGGAGAAAUUGGGAAGCUGGACAAUGGAUGGGCAAUCUAUAGCUUCCUGGCAAAUUCUGGUCAGUGACCUGUUUCCGUAUGGUCUGUAAGCUAAGAGUGGUUUGAACAUUUUUUUGAGUUUGUAAAUGAACAAGAGAGAAGGAGGAGGAGGAGGAGGUGGAGGGGAGGGAGCAGGAGGAGGAAGGAGAAGAGAAGCAACAGCAAGAGAGACCCCACAAGGCCCACAAAGCCUUCAACCCCUACUCCAUUGACUCCCUGGUACUUACAGGGAGUAACCAUUUGUUGACUUCUGCUUUAGAGAAUUGAGUGAGAAGUAGGCUUAAAUUUACGUAACUAUGAGGAAUCAGUUAAGUGACACAUCCUGGAAAAGUAUCUACUCCAAAGUGAUUUUUUGUGUCCCUAUUUUCAGAGAUAGACAUAGAUAGCAUCGCUUUUUAAGUUCAGCCUCACCCCACUAUCCUGCUAAAAUUUAACAGUAUAUGUUUGCAUGGAAAUAAUUUUGGAAGGUUAAAUGCCAAAAUAUCAAAAGCAGCCCUUUUUGUAUAGAAAUUCUUCAUAAGUAAUUUAAAGCUACUUUUUGCCAUUCUGUAUUUUCCAAUUUUUUUCAAUACACAUAUAUUGCUUGUAUUAAUUUCAAAAAGGAGUUGUGUCUAAUCCUGGGAGACUUGAAAAACAGAGGGACUGACACAUGGAAUGCAUCUAGAGGCAAGGCUUAUGACAAACAAUUUCAGAAACUAGGAAAAUUUUUUCUGGAGAAGAGAGAACUUAGAGGAGCUGUGAUAGCAUCUCUGAAAUUUCAGAAAGAUCCAUCAGAGCAGAAAGGCGUUAACUUAUUCUGUAUGAUUAAAAGGGGUAGGAUUAGGACAAAAGGGCCAUCCCACAGGGAGACCAAAUUCUGCUGAUUGUAAGAAAGCUCUUUCUCAAAGUCAAAGCAGGCCAAUAUUUACUGUCAUGGAAGGCAUUAAGAAAUACAUUCAAUAAAGAUUUGGAAUGGAAUUCUAAAAGACGCUGGAUCAUAUGAUGUGAGACCAGACAGGGGGUUCUGAGUCUUUUUUCUACAAGCACACAACAUUUUGCGCAUUGGAAAACACUGCUGAUAUAAAUAAUACAUCCUCAUCUAUCUACUCAUCGACAUGAUCCCUAAUCAUUGCAAAUUUUUUUCUAAUCAUUAAUUUUUAGCAUCUCUUCAAUCAAAUUCAUAAGUUAAGAAUCAAACAAUCUGAUUGUAUUCCUCCUUUGCACGGACAGGAGUCUUUCAACAGAAACCUGGUGCCUGAAAUGCCUCGGGUCCCACCCCUCAGCAUGAGACAAGAGAGCAGGAGUAAAGGAGAAACAAGGGAAGCAGAGGAACAGCAGAGCAGGGGCUGCGACACCGCCAGGGCUCUUUCCCAGAACUAAGGCGAAAUCACCAGGCAACUAUGUUUUCCCUCCAGGAAAAUCAACCCUGUCUUGCUUCUUUUCAUUGUUUCUGUUUCUGUUUUUUUUCUUCCUCAUCUUUUUAUUUUAUUUUAUUUUAUUUUUAAAUUUUCCUUGUCAUGCUUACCUGAAAGUGAUCCAAAGAGAGCAGUAAUGUGUCCAAAUGGCAAUGUUAAAGCAACCUGGGGAAAUGAGCUAAGCAAGUUGUGGGAUCAAAGACAGCUGCGUUUUUGGUACAAUUAAACACUUUUUGGGAAAAACCUACAGACAAGAGCAGGGCUCAAGGGGCAGCCUUUGGCCUUCAACCUAUAAGUCAGGAGCCAAACAGCAUGGAAAUCAGCCUCACAGUCUGGGGACGCAAGGAAUCUCUGAGACAGAUCACAAGAUCCGUCUCUUUUCCUUGGCCUGAAAAGCUACUUAAGAUUGAGUUAUAGGAUGCAGAGAAUGCUUACAUGUCCCUGGAAAGCACUUCCCUUCUCCGUGCCUCAUUUUCAUCUGAGAUAAGGUUAGAACUGCUGUUCCUCGUCUGAGGUCCCUGGGAUCCUUAAGGAUUUAGGAACAAGAGGUAGUGACAAGAAUUGUUAAAUUGUUUUUAAUAUCUCUGAAAGUUCAAUGGAAAUCAUAAGGCCAUGAAAGUAAUCACUAUUGAGUUUGAUUUUGUUUGGAAUUCAUUAAUACAUUGAGCUCAUGCUGGUUAGUUAAAGGUGAUGAAAAAUGAUACCUGGCAAUUGAUAACUUUGAGGGUUUUCUGGGAUGUGAUCCGUGGACCAGACAUUGGUAACAAAACAUGGUCAUCUUGGUCAUGAUCAAGAGUGAAGCUCUCAACUCAGUGAAAAAAAUAAAUAAAAGAGGAAAAGAUAGGAAACUUCAGAGUAGGCAACGUAUAAUUGUCCUGUAAGUCCUCACAUUCUCUGGUUUGAAGUUUCUAAUUUCUGUGGCCUAAAUUGUCAUGAUUGGAUUUUAAAUUGUUUAUUUCAAAAUUAAUUUCCCAGGGUAAUCUUGUGAAACUCACCCUCCUAUGAAGAGGCAAAUGGAUGACAUUUUCUCUACAGAGGCAGUAAAUUCUCCUAUUCCCUUUCUUUGACUGUAUUGUAGGUACAAUUUAAAGGAUAAACCAGCAUUUGGAAAUGGGAGCAUCAGGCCUCACUUGCCAGGACUUUGUCUCUUUGAGAGUCGCUGUUGAUGAUCUUAAGCACACCAAGACAUUUUUUCUUUAUAUUUGUUGAUAUGAAGCUCUUUUUUAAAGAGAAAUAUUUACUUUAGAUCUUCCCUUUGGGCCAUGACAGGGAUGGAGUUGACAACCACAGGAAAAUCUCAGUGCCACCCUUCUCAAACUACAGAUGUUUUCGUGGGCAGAGUACGGUCCCUUUCUUUUCAUAAUGUACUAUUUUAGGUCUUAAACAUCUGCCAUUGGUAUUAUUUUAAUCCUAUAAUUGGUUUCCUGGCCUCCAAUCUAUCUUACUAUUGCUGCCAGAUCGAUCUUUCUAAGGCACAGUUCUGAAAAUACUUCUUGCUCCAAUUCCAUCAAUAGCUCCUCACUGAAUGUAGAAAGAAAUGAAUCUCCAUGGCCUGGGAUUCAGGGCACUGUAUGGUCUGGCCUUGAAAUUCUUUUCAGACUUUCUUCCCAUUAUGGUCCCCUCCACUUUUAAGUCUAGCAAUAACACUGUACUUGUCAUUGUCCAUUUUAUCAGGCAUUUUUCAUGCCUCCAAGCCUUUGCCCAUGCUGUUCCCUGCAGCUGGAAUUCUCUUUCUUUCUAUUCUUAAAAAAAAAAUCUAAGUCUCUGGGGACCAGCUAAAAUGUUUCUCUAAAAAACAUAAAGUCAUUUUACCUGUGUACUUCCAUAGAACUUUGCACGUAUUUUAGUCAACUUUAUGUUGUAUUUUACAGACCUGCUUGUAACGCUUGUAAACUGCUAGAGAUCAAGAAUUAGCUUUCAUCUUGACUCUCUGCAAGAGUCUCUAAAAUAAUUUAGUUGCCCCCAAAGUGGUCAAUUGCUACGUUAUUCUUUGAAAACUCUCAUGGAGAGAGAAACUGACUAUGUAAGAAGAAGGGAUAUCUUCCUGUUACUUUAGAACCUAAAGAUGAGACUGCAUUCAAAAUAUUCAUGUUUAAGAUAAGCCCCCACAAUUUUUAUUAAAAGCUUUCCUUAGCUUUUUAACUUUAAUCUUACCAAGUUCCCAAAUGGGAUAACCAAUAAUCUGGGUUUUUAAUUUAAUUUAAUUUUUCUAGAUCAGGAGCCUAGGUGUCUCUGGUGGCUGCUGCUGGAAAAUCACCCAUCCACUAGAUACUUGCCAAGGGUCCUGAGCAAAGAUUCUGCUGAUUGCAGGAAAGAGAACAUUCUAAUCAAGAAGAAGUAGAUUCUAUUCUACUUCUGCAGGAGUCAAGGAAGAGAAGCUUGAAAUUCUAGGUAGGAAUUACCAGCUGCUCAGAAGUGUCAGGUACAGAGGAGGGUCCUGAUAUAUAAUUAAUGUGAUGGGUUUCUAGGUGGGACAUGGAAGGGAUAGAAACUGGAACAUGAAACAACGGGUAGAAUUCAAGAAAUAGAUGAGACUCAAUGUUGAAAGUAGGGGAAAGGAUCGAUUUAUUAAGUAUGGUUAAUUAUUUUCCCAUUGUUAUUAAAAACAUAAGAAGGUCUAUGUCAGAAAAUAGCAUGCUUUAUCCAAGUGAGCUGAGAUGCUUCCAGACAAGGGAAAACUCUUGAUAUUUAGCUAAGUUAAGCAGCCUUAUUUGGUAAAAUGUAUGAUUACUAUUAGAUUUGAAGAAAUAUUGAAAAUGGCUUGCAGACCCCUAUUAUAAUCUGUGUAGAUUCCUAGGAGCCCAUGAUGUAAGAUUUGGGGGAAUGGUUAUAGUGGGUCAAUCCCCAUUCUUCCACCUUCAUUUUUGGAACACGAGGAACUUGACAUUUCCCUUAGCUUUACCUUCUCCUCCUAUUAUUUUACUCCCAAAAAAGGUCUUCAUUUUAAAAUCUCUGUUCCCUCUGAAGCCACUCAUGUGUAAAUGACUCAGGUCUGCUAUCCACGCUAUUUCUUCAUGAAACCUCACUCCACCAUCUGCAACUAUUUGAAGAUAAAGAGGUCCAGAUCCAAGCCUCACAAAGAAUUUUCUUCAAGAGAGUCUUAAAAUGCAACACAUGACGCGAGAGUCACAUGGCACCAGGUGAGAAGAAGGCCUUUUGAGGAUGCUGGAGAAGGUGCUCAACGGAGGGAGACCGGAGGGCUGUCCCUGUCAGCUGUGACCUGUGCAUUUUGCAGAACUGUCCCCCUUCCCUUCUGUGCAUGGAUAAGCUGUGCUCAGUGAGAUUUUCUCUUUUUAUCCAUUUAUUUUUAUUUAGAAAAACAAUACAUGGCUCCCUAUAAAAAUCCUAAAGCUAUAAAAAUAUCAAGUAAAAAGUCAAAUUAUUUUUUUACUAUGCCCUAGAUCUCCCCUUUUACAGCCAGUCCCAAAUCAGUCUGUACCCUUAUUCAUCUCUUCAUGUGCAUUUACUAAGAUGUGUGUGCAUAUGUGCCUUUUAUCUGCACAUAUCUUUUCACUCUAAAUACGAUAGGAUUCUAUUUCAUGGGCAUCAUUUCACAUAAAUUAUCAUGUCAGAGGUGAGUGUUCUUUCCGCAAUCUUAUUGUUGAACUAGAAGUAGAAAUAUGUUUUUGUGUCUUUUUUCCCUCUGAAGAUUUGGCCUUCUGCUGAAUUCCAAAUCAUAGGUUAACCUUCCUCUGUUCCACAAGCAGAGGAUAAUGUCAACUGUUAAAAUCUGCCCUUCUCAUUGCUCUUCCAUGUUCUUUGGGGAGAAUCUACCGGCCUUUAAGAGAAGGGACAACGACAGAGCCCUGUCUGUCAGCAAUGGACUAUUUCAAAGGAGCAAAAAUACAGGCCGACAGUCUGAAACCUCUCACGCCAAUGAGCAGCCCGCCCCCAGCCGGGGUGGCCUGGGCAUCACCUCUGCCCCCUUCUCCUCCUUCACCUCGUUCUGCCUGGCACGCACUCCUUCUCCUCUGUGCUCUUCUUGCCUUUCUUGGCAUCUCUUUGUUCAGUGUUUCCACUUUUCUAUUUGGCAUCUCCUCUUCCUUUGCUCAUAUUCUCCUUUUCUCUCCUUUCUUACUUAACUAUUCUGUAGAAUUACAGUAUUUUCAAAAACAUGUUUUUGUAAAGGCUUAAUUAAACAUACUAUACAUAUUAACACAAUGAAUACUGUAUAACCAUUAAAAUUUAUGACGUGGAAGCACAUUUUUGACACAUAAAAAUGUAUAUAAUACGCUGUUAAAUAUUUUAAAAAUCUACAAAAGCAUCUAUAUAUAGUAAAAUCCUACUUUGAAAAAUAAUUCUAUCUAUAUAGACGAGGAAUGUUAUAAAACGGUUAACAGGGUUUAUGUUUGAGAGGUAAUAAUGUUAUAUUGUCUUACGUUAUUCUUUUUCAAUUUUUUCGUAUUUUAAAAUUUUUCCUUGUUUAGUAUACAUGGCGUGUAAAGUGAUUUUGCAAAGGAACUUCAAACACGCUUACUUUACUGAAUGAAGUUAUUUUGCCUUUUCUAAAAUUGUGGUAAGAUAAAUUACGCAGUUAAAAAUGCAUAGUAAAAGGAGAAAAUGGAAUUAAAAUGAGAAUUUAAAGUCAAUAAAAGAUAAAGUGAAUUUUCAACCACGUAGAAGACUAAAGAAAAAAAAGAACAAGAAGGAAUUCUUCCAUGCAGGGGAGGCAGGACCUCUGCCACCACCGGGAAGACUGUCUCUGUUCCGUUCCAGGCUCACACUGGGCCAGCAGUCAGCCCAGAGGGCACUUUGGGGCAGAGCUCUGCAAAUACACUUGUGCUUUCAGUAUCUUCCUGAGGACAAACAAAAUAAUAUAAAUUAACUAUAAAUAUAUAUAUAUAUGUAUACAUAUACAUAAAAUGUAUGUCUGUAUACAGGCAGGUAGGUAGGUAUGUAUGCAUGUAUGUCUAAACUUAAAAAGGAAAAUAAAUUGUUCUUCAUUUAUAUACGACUCUUGAUUGAAUCCCUACCCCCAGUCCUCCCCUCUCGCCUGAGGUUCUUGCCCCUAAAAUCAAACCCAGAAGAUGCAGGGCAACCACACAAGAGAUAAGCAUGAAGAGGCUGCCAUCUUGUGGCCCUCUGGAAUUGCUUCCACUGGCCAUCAGUUUUACUGUUCUACAACACAGCUGUUUCAGAUUAGACUUGUUUCAGACUGUAGUCUACAGACUAUGAAUGCAAAUCCUAUUCGUACGUUAGAGCAGGAUUGGGGUCUCACACAGUCAUUUUUCACCACUUUUUAAAAAGAAAGGAUCAUUUGAGUUAGGACGUGUGGCCCAUUUCCGGCAGUUUUGCCAUUAGCGUUGUUCUGAAUGACCUACUGUCUUCAGCCAUUGGAGGCAUUCAGAAGUCCACAGAGCACCUCCCUGUGUGUGUUUGCUGCAUUCUGAGGACUUUCCCCAGACAGCCGGGGAAGGGACAGCCUCACAGAAGCCUCUCUGUGUGUUAGGCUAGAAGAGAAAAUAUUGGAAAGAUGUCUUAGAAUUUCAUAGUGUGCAAAAAAUUUUAUCUAGCAGCUCUGUUCACACACACACACACACACACACACACUUCCUCUAUUCAUUUGCUUCUCUAGUGUUGGAAAAGGCCUGGUGGACUUCAAAUUACCUUGUGUCAUUUUGUCAGAUGUGCAGAUGGCUCCUUAGUCAAAUAAUCAACACAGAAAUUACUAAAAAGACUUCAUAUCUAUUCUAACAUAGGCUCCUUGGACAUAAGAAGCACUGUACAUACCAACUGCCAACCAACGCCUGAGAGUUGCGGCUUCUGGAAACAAAACACUGAAGCAAAGGAACCCUGACAACUCUAUGAAAGAAGAAGUAGAGAAUUGAGAGACUGGAGAGAGAAGAUAAAUUGGCUGUCACCAUAGUCCACGUGAAAAAUAAUAAGUGCCUGGACCAAGGCAGUGGUAGUGAGCAUGGAAGGGGUAAGCCUGAAAUUCCAGAGACUUUCCAGAAGUAGAUGGAUAGAACUUGGUAAUGGCUGCAUACUGGAGAUUAAAGAGACAGGAGUUUUAACGACAUCUACAACAGAUGUGGACAUGAUAGCCAAUCUGACAGAAGAGGAAGAGCAGUCCUGUGGACACAGUAUUGAAUUUAAUUUUGGACAGGCUGAUCUGCAGCGCUGAGGAGUCAUCCAAAUGGAGAUGUGCAAUAAAUAGUUGUGCAUUCUGGUCUGGAGCCCAAGAGUCAGAGAUGAAGAUAAAAGGUGAAUGCCUGUAAAGAAUUAUCCCAACACAGCAAUAGUUGCUACUGACUGACACUGAUUAUGUGCCAGUCACGAUCUAAAAGCUUUAAUACAUUGUUUUAUGUAACUCUGUCACUGUCUUCCUGUUGAAGCUGGGAAACCUCAGAGAACCUGAAUAACUACCCAUAAAGAAAGUGAAUUUCACUCCUUAGAGGGAGAGCAUACAAGGUCAGUUGAGAAGAUGUUACUGUGAGUAACAGGAAGGUAAACUCAAACUCUGUAAUUUAUUGUAUUCACAUCAUUGAAAUGUCCCCAAGUAGGAUAGGUCCGGCUGAAAUUUGGCCCUAAACCUCAACCAUGUCUCAUAAGAACCAGCUUCCAUUCGACUCGUGCUCUGCCGUCCACAGGUUUACUCUGACUGACCAGUUUAAACCAUAUGCUCACUUCCUCCCAAUUAACUUGGCUGGAGGAACAUGCUGCGCUGACUCACUUAUACCUGGUUUCAUGUUCAUCCUGGUGAACCAGCCACUAUAGCCAGAAAGGAGGAUGGAUUAUGCUAAUUGGCAAAGGCCUAGCAGGGCCUGAUCUUGCUUUGUUGAUAUGGGCAUCAAUCCCAUUCAAAUUUUAGGAUUGGAAAAAGUUGAGUUCUUUAGGAAGGGAAAGGGGAUGAAGGGGAGACAAAUAACUUACCAAACAGAGUAACCAUGAAAGAGGAGCAAAGAUGAAAUUCUGGAAGGCACUAUACUUAAGGGACAGGUAAAAGAGGCGACAGUCUGCAAGAGAAUGCGAAAGAAUGAGGAAAUAAGAGGAAACCUGGGGAGAGCAGUGUCUCAGACACGGAAGACAGAGGAGUUCCAGGGUGCGCUGGAGGCUGACUGCAGAAAAGUCCCUUUGUGUUAGUUCUUGGGAAGGGAUUCAGCCAUUACUAAACAUUGC